This 249-nucleotide unclassified non-coding RNA is filed under the name uncultured fungus. Its description in RNAcentral is "sequence contains 5.8S rRNA gene". The stretch from base 1 to 53 matches the Rfam family "5.8S ribosomal RNA", at positions 102 to 154 of the family's 154-position model. The record is from RNAcentral. Lineage: Eukaryota; Fungi.
GAACGCACAUUGCGCCCGCUAGUCUUCUGGCGGGCAUGCCUGUUCGAGCGUCAUUUCAACCAUCAAGCCCCAGGCUUGUGUUGGAGCCCUGCGGCUGCCCGCAGCCUCCUAAAACCAGUGGCGGGCUCGCUAUCACACCGAGUGCAGUAGUUCUCUCUUCGCUCUGGACGUGUAGCGGGUUCCGGCCGUGAAACCCCCAAAUUUUCAAGGUUGACCUCGGAUCAGGUAGGAAUACCCGCUGAACUUAAG